This 450-nucleotide ribosomal RNA is filed under the name uncultured bacterium. RNAcentral's name for it is "partial 16S ribosomal RNA". It matches the Rfam family "Bacterial small subunit ribosomal RNA", at positions 338 to 795 of the family's 1533-position model. The record is from RNAcentral.
CCUACGGGAGGCUGCAGUGGGGAAUUUUGGACAAUGGGGGCAACCCUGAUCCAGCCAUUCCGCGUGAGUGAAGAAGGCCUUCGGGUUGUAAAGCUCUUUUGUCCGGAGCGAAACGGGCGGCCCUAAUACGGUCGUCUACUGACGGUACCGGAAGAAUAAGCACCGGCUAACUACGUGCCAGCAGCCGCGGUAAUACGUAGGGUGCGAGCGUUACUCGAAGUUACUGGAGGCGAAGCUUUCGCAGGCGGGUGAAAUCCCCGGGCUCAACCUGGGAAUGGCAUUUGGGACUGCAAGGCUGGAGUGUGGCAGAGGGGACUAGAAUUCCUGGUGUAGCAGUGAAAUGCGUAGAUAUCAGGAGGAAUACCGAUGGCGAAGGCAGGUCCCUGGGUUAACACUGACGCUCAUGCACGAAAGCGUGGGGAGCAAACAGGAUUAGAUACCCGGGUAGUC